AUCUUGUACAUUUCAUUUUGAAGUUUUCAAUUGUAUUUGUACUUUUGCUUUCAGAUCUCUGGACCUCUCCUGGAUGAAAGCCAGGUCAAGAGCAUUGUGGAUGAGAUAAAACAGGUGAUCACAGCCAGCUCAAGUAGAAAGGGAGAAAGAGCAGAGAGGGCCAAAGCUGAGGACUUCGAUGCUGAGGAGGGGGAAAUACUAAGAGAGGAAAAUGAGCAAGAGGAAGAAGUUUUUGAUCAAGUAGGGGAAAUCUUGGGAACUUUGAUAAAAACAUUUAAGGCCUCGUUCUUGCCCUUCUUUGAUGAGUUGUCAUCAUAUCUUACGCCUAUGUGGGGGAAGGAUAAAACAGCUGAGGAGAGAAGGAUAGCAAUUUGCAUCUUUGAUGAUGUUGCAGAGCAGUGUCACAAAGCAGCUCUGAAGUAAAUAUUCCUUUCAAAACAUUUAUGUAGAUGUACUGAUUGCUAUUGUGGCCAUUUAUCCAAUAUAAUUUUUCUACAUGUGUUGAACAGAUAUUAUGAUACAUAUCUUCCUUUCCUUUUGGAAGCUUGCAAUGACAUGAACCUAGAUGUCUGGCAGGUCUGCACAAACUACUCAAUAUUUGGUUUAAUCCCUAAGUUUCUUUGCUGUUGAUCACUUUUGAAACAUGUUUAUUUUCAGGCUGCUGUAUAUGGACUUGGCGUUUGUGCAGAAUUUGGUGGUUCUGUUUUUAAACCUCUUGUUUUAGGUACAAUCUGCUUCCACAUUUGGGGAGUUGAUUUCCUUCAUAUUUCCUUUGAGUUGAUAGUUUCUCUUUAUACCUUGUUCAGAGGCUCUUUCAACGUUAAAUGUUGUGAUAAGGGACCCUAAUGCCUUGUAACCUGAAAACAUAAUGGCAUAUGAUAAUGUUGUUUCUGCUAUGGGAAAAAUAUGUCAGUUCCAUCGUGAGAGUAUAGGUUCAGCUCAGGUAAUUCCUCUUUCUUUAUUGUUCACAAGCCUAUUCAAGCAUAAAUAAUUCUGCAAAAUGUGGAUUCUUUGAUUCUUUUGGUUCACCUUGAAACUUGAAUAUAUUGCGCAGAAUGACUUUUAGUUAUCUUAGGGUGUGUUGUGGGCUACCUUGCACCUUUUAAACUAACAAGGUCUUGACUCUUGAUAUGUGAUUUGUUAGGCAUUUAUUAAUUAGUAUGUGUAUCCUAAAUAU
This is a non-coding RNA of Camellia sinensis, 1177 nucleotides long. Lineage: Eukaryota; Viridiplantae; Streptophyta; Magnoliopsida; Ericales; Theaceae. The record is from RefSeq and is a predicted model, not a curated record.